GCCUUCGUGGUGUACUGGUCAGCACGCUCGACUCGUAUUCGAGAGGUCUAUGGUUCGAGUCCCGGCGAGGGCA
Molecule: non-coding RNA, 73 nt
Organism: Stegodyphus mimosarum
Lineage: Eukaryota; Metazoa; Arthropoda; Arachnida; Araneae; Eresidae
Source: Rfam